Molecule: long non-coding RNA, 1900 nt
Filed under: Salmo salar (Atlantic salmon)
Lineage: Eukaryota; Metazoa; Chordata; Actinopteri; Salmoniformes; Salmonidae
Description: lncRNA (ENSSSAG00000121018.1)
Source: RNAcentral
GUUCCAGUCAGAGAGUUCCAGACCACUCAGAGAGCUCCCAGACCACUCAGAGAGCUCCCAGACCACUCAGAGAGCUCCCAGACCACUCAGAGAGCUCCCAGACCACUCAGAGAGCUCCCAGACCACUCAGAGAGUUCCCAGACCACUCAGAGAGCUCCCAGACCACAGAGAGUUCCCAGACCACUCAGAGAGUUCCCAGACCACUCAGAGAGUUCCCAGACCACUCAGAGAGUUCCAGACCACAGAGAGUUCCAGACCACAGAGAGUUCCAGACCACUCAGAGAGUUCCAGACCACUCAGAGAGUUCCAGACCACUCAGAGAGUUCCAGACCACUCAGAGAGUUCCAGACCACUCAGAGAGUUCCAGACCACUCAGAGAGUUCCAGACCACAGAGAGUUCCAGACCACAGAGAGUUCCAGACCACACAGAGAGUUCCAGACCACUCAGAGAGUUCCCAGACCACUCAGAGAGUUCCCAGACCACUCAGAGAGUUCCAGACCACUCAGAGAGUUCCAGACCACUCAGAGAGUUCCAGACCACAGAGAGUUCCAGACCACAGAGAGUUCCAGACCACUCAGAGAGUUCCCAGACCACUCAGAGAGUUCCCAGACCACUCAGAGAGUUCCCAGACCACUCAGAGAGUUCCAGACCACAGAGAGUUCCAGACCACUCAGAGAGUUCCAGACCACUCAGAGAGUUCCAGACCACUCAGAGAGUUCCCAGACCACUCAGAGAGUUCCAGACCACUCAGAGAGCUCCCAUACCACUCAGAGAGCUCCCAGACCACUCAGAGAGCUCCCAGACCACUCAGAGAGCUCCCAGACCACUCAGAGAGUUCCAGACCACAGAGAGUUCCAGACCACAGAGAGUUCCCAGACCACUCAGAGAGUUCCAGACCACUCAGAGAGCUCCCAGACCACUCAGAGAGUUCCAGACCACUCAGAGAGUUCCAGACCACUCAGAGAGUUCCAGACCACUCAGAGAGUUCCAGACCACACAGAGAGUUCCCAUACCACUCAGAGAAGUUCCAGACCACUCAGAGAGCUCCCAGACCACUCAGAGAGUUCCAGACCACUCAGAGAGUUCCAGACCACAGAGAGUUCCAGACCACUCAGAGAGUUCCAGACCACAGAGAGUUCCAGACCACUCAGAGAGUUCCAGACCACUCAGAGAGUUCCAGACCACUCAGAGAGUUCCAGACCACUCAGAGAGUUCCAGACCACUCAGAGAGUUCCAGACCACAGAGAGUUCCAGACCACUCAGAGAGUUCCAGACCACUCAGAGAGUUCCAGACCACUCAGAGAGUUCCAGACCACUCAGAGAGUUCCAGACCACUCAGAGAGCUCCCAGACCACUCAGAGAGUUCCCAGACCACUCAGAGAGCUCCCAGACCACUCAGAGAGCUCCCAGACCACUCAGAGAGCUCCCAGACCACUCAGAGAGCUCCCAGACCACUCAGAGAGCUCCCAGACCACUCAGAGAGCUCCUAGACCACUCAGAGAGUUCCAGACCACAGAGAGUUCCAGACCACAGAGAGUUCCAGACCACUCAGAGAGUUCCAGACCACAGAGAUUCCCAGACCACUCAGAGAGCUCCCAGACCACUCAGAGAGCUCCCAGACCACUCAGAGAUCUCCCAGAUGGGAGGGAGCCAGUGAGAGAGGAGGCUGGCCUGGUGGAGAGGGCGAGAUACUGUUUUAUCAGGAUGCAUGUUUUCUGUAUGUGCUCCACUUCAUCCCUGGUUACUUAACGAUAAUGAAUUAAGGAAAAGGCUAAUUGCCCUUCAAAUGUCCCUUUCCUGCUUAUAACAUUUUAACAUCAUACUUUUCAGUGUUGGUCCUUUAUACAUAAACCUGUCUGGUUGUUGGGUAUAUUGCAGAUUGCUUUUGAAUAUUAUCCG